This is a long non-coding RNA of Panthera uncia (snow leopard), 1033 nucleotides long. RefSeq lists it as uncharacterized. The record is from RefSeq and is a predicted model, not a curated record. The transcript is spliced from 3 exons. NCBI's taxonomy places the organism in Eukaryota, Metazoa, Chordata, Mammalia, Carnivora, Felidae.
CGGGGGGGGACGGGGGGGGGGGGGGCCGCUGGUCAGACAGAGAGCACUGAGGAGCCAGAGGAAAGGGGAGACUGGGGUGGGAGCAGGGCCAGGACCAGGGCGAGGAGAGUGAGAGACUUAAGGCAGCGCCUACUAACUCAGCAACCGGGGUGAGGAACAUUUUUUCAACGUUCUCCGUCUUCUUUAUUUACGUAAUCUCUGCACCCAAUGUGGGGCUUGAACCCAUGACCCCAGGAUCGAGAGUCGCAGCUCUACUGACUGAGCCAGCCAGGUGCCCCGAGAUGCACUUCUGGAAAACGCCAGGCAAAGGGACAUCGGGUCAGACCCUUCUCUUCCGGCUUCGAGAGCAAAGCCCCAGGCCUGACCACAGCAGACGUGCCCCACGUACAACGCCCACACAUGGGUCGCACUCUCUGGCCCCGAGAAACCCACACCUCGAGGACACACACAGGCUCUGCUCCUCUCUGUGAUGCUGGGCCCGUCAGACCAGUGGUUCUCAACUCAGGAUGAUUCUGGUCUCCUCUCCCCCUAUGCCAGAGGAUGUUCAGCAAUGUCCAGACGUUUCUGGUCAUUAUACUUUGGGGAGGACGGGGGAGUUGCUACUGGCUGGCGGCUGGAGGCCAGAGCUCUGCUCCGUGCCCUGCAGUGCAUGGGAUGGCCCCACUACGGAGAAUGACGUGGCCCCAAAUGUCAACAAGUGCCCGGACUGAGAAACUGCUUUAAACCAUGAGGACCGCGGGAGCUAGGGCAACCCCUCCAGAGAAACGGCAGGAGACGGAGACCGAGGAGGCUCGAAGUCUGGGGCCUCUGCCUUCCUUCCACCACACCUGUGGGCUCUGCGGCCGAGUUAGCCGCAGCCCAGCUCCUCACCUCCACUCCCUCCUUUGGCCCGGUCUGCCCUCCUCCGGAAGAUCAGGAGGUAGCGCCUCCCAUGGCAGGGGAAGCGGAGGGAGGCUCGCCAGGUACACCGAGAGGGAAAAAGAGGCGCCAACCGCCCCGCUCCGGGUUGGCCCUGCAGCACCCAUACCUGCAU